AUAAAUCUUCGGGGUUUGGUGUAAUUCCAUACCGGCGGUACAGCCCGCGAGCUAAUUAGCAUGAUUUGGUGAAAUUCCAAAGCCGACAGUAAAGUCUGGAUGAGAGAAGAUUAUU
This 115-nucleotide non-coding RNA is filed under the name Malacoplasma iowae. Its description in RNAcentral is "Mycoplasma iowae FMN sequence". It matches the Rfam family "FMN riboswitch aptamer (RFN element)". From Rfam's summary of the family: The RFN element is a highly conserved domain that is found frequently in the 5'-untranslated regions of prokaryotic mRNAs that encode for flavin mononucleotide (FMN) biosynthesis and transport proteins. This element is a metabolite-dependent riboswitch that directly binds FMN in the absence of proteins. The record is from RNAcentral. Lineage: Bacteria; Bacillati; Mycoplasmatota; Mycoplasmoidales; Mycoplasmoidaceae. RNAcentral also lists the same sequence under 1 other name.